AUUGAACGCUGGCGGCAGGCCUAACACAUGCAAGUCGAACGAGUGGCGGACGGGUGAGUAAUGUCUGGGAAACUGCCUGAUGGAGGGGGAUAACUACUGGAAACGGUAGCUAAUACCGCAUACCAUCGGAUGUGCCCAGAUGGGAUUAGCUAGUAGGUGGGGUAACGGCUCACCUAGGCGACGACCCCUAGCUGGUCUGAGAGGCUGACCGGCAACGUGGGAACGGAGACAAGAUACAGAAUCGUCCGGGAGGCAGCAGAGGAGAAUAUUGAACAAUGGGCGCAAGCCAGAUGCAGCCAUGCCGCGUGAAUGAAGAAGGACUUCGGGUUGUAAAGUACUUUCAGCGGGGAGGCGUUACCCGCAGAAGAAGCACCGGCUAACUCCGUGCCAGCAGCCGCGGUAAUUC
This 406-nucleotide ribosomal RNA is filed under the name uncultured bacterium. RNAcentral's name for it is "partial 16S ribosomal RNA". It matches the Rfam family "Bacterial small subunit ribosomal RNA", at positions 29 to 526 of the family's 1533-position model. The record is from RNAcentral.